This is a long non-coding RNA of Asparagus officinalis (garden asparagus), 617 nucleotides long. RefSeq lists it as uncharacterized. The transcript has 3 exons. Lineage: Eukaryota; Viridiplantae; Streptophyta; Magnoliopsida; Asparagales; Asparagaceae. The record is from RefSeq and is a predicted model, not a curated record.
AGCUCGUCGAAUCUGGGGUUUCACGGGUUGGAGAUGGGCGGGGGAGGGCUGGGGGGAUGAGCUUCACCUUGAUGCUCGGGGGCAGCAUGAGCAGAUGCCCGGGUUGCAGCUGGGGCUCUCGCAGGAUGGGCACAUCGGGGUUUUGAACCCGCAGGCACUGAAUCAGUUCUAUCAGCAGAUUGUUAGCUCAGGUGUAGAUGGAAGGAUAGAGAUAUUUGGAUGGGGCACUAUAUAGCGUUUUAUUCCUUUGAGGUAUUUUGGACUGUCCUCGAUGGGAGUAACAUUUAAGUUUAAGUGCAUCCUCAUUUGGGAGCAGUGAUCGGUAUUGAGGCUUUGGUAGUUUAAGGGAUGGUGAAUCGUUCAAGGAUAUCUACAAAGAUGAUCACAAGUCAAAUGAUGACCGUUCCACCGAAAAUGAAAGUGGAUUGAAGAAGGGAUCAUCAGGUCGUACAAGGGUUGUCAGACACCUUCUUCUCUGCUUUGUUUAUUUUUCUGUACAUGCUUUCACAAACACGCUAUUCGGAUUGUUUAAUGCUUCCCUGUAAAACUAGAAAAGAUUAAGCAGACACAUAUUUCAUAUGUAUAUGUAAAUAUAUAUAUACAAAGGUAUUUAUUUC